UGCAGUCGAGCGAAUGGAUUAAGAGCUUGCUCUUAUGAAGUUAGCGGCGGACGGGUGAGUAACACGUGGGUAACCUGCCCAUAAGACUGGGAUAACUCCGGGAAACCGGGGCUAAUACCGGAUAACAUUUUGAACCGCAUGGUUCGAAAUUGAAAGGCGGCUUCGGCUGUCACUUAUGGAUGGACCCGCGUCGCAUUAGCUAGUUGGUGAGGUAACGGCUCACCAAGGCAACGAUGCGUAGCCAACCUGAGAGGGUGAUCGGCCACACUGGGACUGAGACACCGCCCACACUCCUACGGGAGGCAGCAUAAUGGAAUCUUCCCCAAUGGACGAAAGUCUGACGGAGCAACGCCGCGUGAGUGAUGAAGGCUUUCGGGUCUUAAAACUCUGUUGUAAGGGAAGAACAAUUGCUACUUGAAUAAUCUGGCACCUUGACGGAACCUAACCCGAAAGCCUCCGCUAACUACGUGCCAGCAGCCGCGGUAAUACAUACGUGGCAAGCAUUAUCCGGAAUUAUUGGGCGUAAAGCGCGCGCAGGUGGUUUCAUGUG
This 550-nucleotide ribosomal RNA is filed under the name Bacillus cereus. RNAcentral's name for it is "bacterial SSU rRNA". It matches the Rfam family "Bacterial small subunit ribosomal RNA", at positions 56 to 587 of the family's 1533-position model. The record is from RNAcentral. Lineage: Bacteria; Bacillati; Bacillota; Bacilli; Caryophanales; Bacillaceae.